Molecule: long non-coding RNA, 885 nt
Organism: Nerophis ophidion (straightnose pipefish)
Lineage: Eukaryota; Metazoa; Chordata; Actinopteri; Syngnathiformes; Syngnathidae
Exons: 3
Source: RefSeq, a predicted model, not a curated record
CUGUCCAUAAGGAGGGGAGUACUGUUACGGCACAAGCGCGUGCCGCUGCACACUCAUCAAUGAGCCCCGCGGAGCGCACCCUGGGGACACGAUCAUUGGUUGUCCGACUCGGUGGCUGUAGCGGCGUACUACUCGCCGCCACCAGGCUCGUCCCCAAUGGAUUCGGGGACACUUUGUUCUGGCAACUCACCACCACUUCUCCCCUCUACCUUCCCUUGACUUUUGAUAUUUUUGUUUUACUGGUUCGACUCUUAGGACAUCUGGAAGCUGUCCAUAAGGAGGGGGGUACUGUUACGGCACAAGCGCAUGCCGCUGUGCUUUCUUCAAUGAGCCCCGCGGAGCGCGCUUAGGGACACGCCCACGCCUGCUGAUCUCCUGCGGGAGCCGGCGGCUCAAAUCUAUCAGCAAUCUACACACCUGUCGUUGAUGAGCUCUCCUGCCUUCAUAAGGCUGCGCAACCUGCUAUCCGGCGCAAGAACGCAACCUUCUGUUCGUGUACAUAUCCUCCGUCGCUUUGGGAGUGAGGUGUGCAUCUCACUUUUCCCUGGAUCUCCCUCUGGACUCUGACUGCCACCCUCGAUCCUCGACUUCCUGCCGGCUCACGGACCUCUGAGCUCUGCUUUUCUCCUCCCUGACCUUCCGCCUCUUGUCCAACAAUACGCUGUGUGCCUCGACUUCCCACUGGAUACAGGACUGCCACCCUUGAUCCUCGACCCCUGCUUGAACACGGACAUUGUUGCUUCUCUUCAGCCUCCGACCACUUGCCUGUCUACGGACUGCCUUUCCCUUUGGUCUGACAAAGGAUUCAUCCAAAACACACAUACAACAAACCCUGGUAACAUUUACAUGGUUAAUUCUACACAUCGUUUUGCAUUUAUUACUUGG